UCAAGGAAAGUGCCACAGAAAGAUACCGCCCGGCCGGAGGUUGCUUCCGGCCGGGUAAGGGUGAAAUGGUGCGGUAAGAGCGCACCAGCGGUCAGGCGACUGGCCGGCUAGGUAAACCCCACCCGGAGCAAGACCAAAUAGGGGAGAGUUGACGUGGCCCGCCGAUCUCCCGGGUUAGGUCGCUAGAGGUGCUAGGCAACUAGCAUCCCAGAGAGAUGACUAUCGCCCGUUUUCGGGAACAGAACUCGGCUUACAGACCUGCUUUAUAU
This 269-nucleotide RNase P RNA is filed under the name Bacillota bacterium. RNAcentral describes it as "Firmicutes bacterium (anaerobic digester metagenome) partial RNase P RNA component class A". It matches the Rfam family "Bacterial RNase P class A", at positions 100 to 367 of the family's 367-position model. Rfam says of the family: Ribonuclease P (RNase P) is a ubiquitous endoribonuclease, found in archaea, bacteria and eukarya as well as chloroplasts and mitochondria. Lineage: Bacteria; Bacillati; Bacillota. The record is from RNAcentral.